RNAcentral lists this ribosomal RNA (254 nucleotides) under uncultured bacterium. RNAcentral describes it as "partial 16S ribosomal RNA". It matches the Rfam family "Bacterial small subunit ribosomal RNA", at positions 524 to 776 of the family's 1533-position model. The record is from RNAcentral.
CACGUAGGGGCCAAGCGUUGUCCGGAUUCAUUGGGCGUAAAGAGCUCGUAGGCGGUUCCGUAAGUCGGGUGUGAAAACUCUGGGCUCAACCCAGAGACGCCACCCGAUACUGCGGUGACUCGAGUCCGGUAGGGGAGUGGGGAAUUCCUGGUGUAGCGGUGAAAUGCGCAGAUAUCAGGAGGAACACCAGUGGCGAAGGCGCCACUCUGGGCCGGCACUGACGCUGAGGAGCGAAAGCGUGGGUAGCAAACAGG